This 72-nucleotide transfer RNA is filed under the name Ictidomys tridecemlineatus (thirteen-lined ground squirrel). RNAcentral describes it as "Spermophilus tridecemlineatus (thirteen-lined ground squirrel) tRNA". It matches the Rfam family "tRNA". From Rfam's summary of the family: Transfer RNA (tRNA) molecules are approximately 80 nucleotides in length. The record is from Rfam by way of RNAcentral. Lineage: Eukaryota; Metazoa; Chordata; Mammalia; Rodentia; Sciuridae.
GGGGUUGUGGCUCAGUGGUAGAGCGCUUGCCUAGCAUGUGUGAGGCUCUGGGUUCAAUCCUUAGCACCACCU